AAUUAGUGGCAGACGGGUGAGUAAUGCAUAGGAAUCUACCUAGUAGUAUAGGAUAGCCACUAGAAGUGGUGGGUAAUACUGUAUAAUCCCUGCGGGGGAAAGAUUUAUCGCUACAUGAUGAGCCUAUGUUAGAUUAGCUAGUUGGUGGGGUAAUGGCCUACCAAGGCAGUGAUCUAUAGCUGGUCUGAGAGGAUGAUCAGCCACACUGGAACUGAGACACGGUCCAGACUCCUACGGGAGGCAGCAGUGGGGAAUAUUGGACAAUGGGCGCAAGCCUGAUCCAGCUAUGCCGCGUGAGUGAGGAAGGCCUUAGGGUUGUAAAACUCUUUCAGUGGGGAAGAUAAUGACGGUACCCACAGAAGAAGUCCCGGCAAACUCCGUGCCAGCAGCCGCGGUAAUACGGAGGGGGCAAGCGUUGUUCGGAAUUAUUGGGCGUAAAGGGCAUGUAGGUGGUUUGGUAAGUUAAAGGUGAAAUGCCAGGGCUUAACCCUGGAGCUGCUUUUAAUACUGC
RNAcentral lists this ribosomal RNA (511 nucleotides) under Anaplasma bovis. Its description in RNAcentral is "bacterial SSU rRNA". It matches the Rfam family "Bacterial small subunit ribosomal RNA", at positions 90 to 636 of the family's 1533-position model. RNAcentral also lists the same sequence under 1 other name. The record is from RNAcentral. Lineage: Bacteria; Pseudomonadati; Pseudomonadota; Alphaproteobacteria; Rickettsiales; Anaplasmataceae.